This 407-nucleotide ribosomal RNA is filed under the name uncultured bacterium. RNAcentral describes it as "partial 16S ribosomal RNA". It matches the Rfam family "Bacterial small subunit ribosomal RNA", at positions 28 to 526 of the family's 1533-position model. The record is from RNAcentral.
GACGAACGCUGGCGGCAGGCCUAACACAUGCAAGUCGAGCGGAGCGGCGGACGGGUGAGUAAUGCCUAGGAAUCUGCCCGGUAGUGGGGGAUAACGUCCGGAAACGGGCUCUAAUACCGCAUACUAUCAGAUGAGCCUAGGUCGGAUUAGCUAGCUGGUGGGGUAAAGGCCUACUAAGGCGACGAUCCGUAACUGGUCUGAGAGGAUGAUCAGUCACACUGGAACUGAGACACGGUCCAGACUCCUACGGGAGGCAGCAGUGGGUAAUAUUGGACAAUGGGUGAAAGCCUGAUCCAGCCAUGCCGCGUGUGUGAAGAAGGUCUUCGGAUUGUAAAGCACUUUAAGUUGGGAGGCGUUACCAGCAGAAUAAGCACCGGCUAACUUCGUGCCAGCCGCCGCGGUAAUAC